CAGUCGCCGCGGGAAUACGGAGGGGGCUGGCGUUGUUCGGAAUUACUGGGCGUAAAGCGCACGUAGGCGGCUUGGUAAGUUAGAGGUGAAAGCCCGGAGCUCAACUCCGGAAUUGCCUUUAAGACUGCCGAGCUAGCAGGUGAGAGAGGUAAGUGGAAUUCCGAGUGUAGAGGUGAAAUUCGUAGAUAUUCGGAAGAACACCAGUGGCGAAGGCGGCUUACUGGCUCAUACUGGACGCUGAGGUGCGAAAGCGUGGGGAGCAAACAGGAUUAGAUACCCCAGUAGUCCCUGUCUCUUAUAU
Molecule: ribosomal RNA, 301 nt
Filed under: uncultured bacterium
Lineage: Bacteria
Description: partial 16S ribosomal RNA
Rfam family: Bacterial small subunit ribosomal RNA
Source: RNAcentral